AUGAUGUGUGGCAGCAAGGGGAAACACGAGUCCAUGCUCUGUGCAUCCUCUUCCCGUGUUUCAAAGAAGGAUUGGCUGGUGCUGCCUGCUGGCGUCAAGUUCGAUCCCACGGAUCAGGUGCUGAUCGAGCACCUCAAGGCCAAAGUGAGUGCUGACAGUGCGAGAUCUCACCCUCUCAUCGAUUUGUUCAUACCAACCAUUGACAGCGAGCACGACAUAUGCUACACCCAACCUGAGAAACUUCCAGGUAUCACACAGAGUGGCUUAAGGAAGCAUAUCUUCCAGCGCAAUUUCAGGGCGUUCAAAAGGGGCACAUGGACGCGUCGCAAGAUACAGCCGGAGUGUGGCAUGCACGCGAUGUGGCACAAUACUGGCAAUACCUUGCCGGUGAUGGUCAACGGCUGGCAGACGGGCAGCACAAAGGUUCUGGUGCCGCACGCCAACAAGAACUUGGACCAGCAGAAGACCAACUGA
This 474-nucleotide ribosomal RNA is filed under the name Triticum aestivum (bread wheat). RNAcentral describes it as "partial small subunit ribosomal RNA". The record is from RNAcentral. Lineage: Eukaryota; Viridiplantae; Streptophyta; Magnoliopsida; Poales; Poaceae.